UUGAACGCUGGCGGCAUGCUUUACACAUGCAAGUCGAACGGCAGCGGGGGCUUUGGCCUGCCGGCGAGUGGCGAACGGGUGAGUAAUGCAUCGGAACGUACCCAGUCGUGGGGGAUAACUACGCGAAAGCGUAGCUAAUACCGCAUACGCCCUGAGGGGGAAAGCGGGGGACCUUCGGGCCUCGCGCGAUUGGAGCGGCUGAUGUCGGAUUAGCUAGUUGGUGGGGUAAAGGCUCACCAAGGCGACGAUCUGUAGCUGGUCUGAGAGGACGACCAGCCAAACUGGAACUGAGACACGGUCCAGACUCCUACGGGAGGCAGCAGUGGGGAAUUUUGGACAAUGGGCGCAAGCCUGAUCCAGCAAUGCCGCGUGCAGGAUGAAGGCCUUCGGGUUGUAAACUGCUUUUGUACGGAACGAAAAGACUCCUUCUAAUAAAGGGGGUUCAUGACGGUACCGUAAGAAUAAGCACCGGCUAACUACGU
RNAcentral lists this ribosomal RNA (482 nucleotides) under uncultured bacterium. RNAcentral describes it as "bacterial SSU rRNA". It matches the Rfam family "Bacterial small subunit ribosomal RNA", at positions 30 to 506 of the family's 1533-position model. The record is from RNAcentral.